CAGUGGCAGCCGGAAGUCAGGGUGGAUUGCGCAGGCGGGAUAGGGGGUUUUGCUAGAGUGGCCUAGUCCUAGCAGGCGUCCUGCGUCUUCCAGACUAAUGCUUUAUUAGCGGGAAAAAAAAUUAUGAAUGAAGCGAGAGAGAACAAUGAGCGCAGGAAGUUUUCUGGCUGCCAAUUAAAGCUGAGAAGGUCAAAAGAGACGGAGGGAAGCAAAAUUCAUGCCACUUCUUCACAACACAAUCAGUGUCAUCCUCAUUUUACAGAACCCAGAGCGAGGAGGAGGCGUCAGUGUAUUCCACAGUCUCUCCUCCAGCAGAACACAGCAGGCUGGCCUUAUUUUAGGGUCACUGAACCCGGGAACUUCUCCAUUCUGCUUCUCAUCUCUAUGAAGCACGGGAAGGGGCACCUAUGGCGGCGGCCCGGGCGCACACUGGGGAGAAAGGAGUUAAAGCCAGGUCCCAGGAUAACCGGGAGCGGGAAGUUCCGGUGGCCCAAGCUGGAGUGGAAUGGGCAGACCGCUAGGAAGAGCGGUUUGGGACGGAAGGGGGCGUAGGUGCCAGCCAUGCUAAUCCGCGCUUCACCCCCAUCAGGGCUCGGCAUCCACUGGUAAGCCGCACCCCCCGCCCCCAGCCCCAAGGCCGGUUUCUCCUCUCCCCUCAGAGCGGGCCGCCCUCACCCCGGGCCAGACCGAGGCCAGCGCCGAGCCCCGUCUAGAGCCAGGAGGGGCGUGCCUCCCUCCGGCCGCCCUCCCAUUGUCUGUGCGGAGCCGCCGGAGGGGCUGCGAGGGGCGGGGC
Molecule: non-coding RNA, 793 nt
Organism: Equus caballus (horse)
Lineage: Eukaryota; Metazoa; Chordata; Mammalia; Perissodactyla; Equidae
Source: RefSeq, a predicted model, not a curated record